Molecule: ribosomal RNA, 402 nt
Filed under: bacterium
Lineage: Bacteria
Description: partial 16S ribosomal RNA
Rfam family: Bacterial small subunit ribosomal RNA
Source: RNAcentral
UGGGGAAUUUUGCACAAUGGGGGAAACCCUGAUGCAGCGACGCCGCGUGAUUUAGAAGGCCUUCGGGUUGUAAAAAUCUUUUCUAUGGGAAGAAAAUGACAGUACCAUAGGAAUAAGGACCGGCUAAUUACGUGCCAGCAGCCGCGGUAAUACGUAAGGGCCGAGCGUUGUCCGGAAUCAUUGGGCGUAAAGGGUACGUAGGCGGGUAAGCAAGUUAGAAGUGAAAUCCUAUAGCUCAACUAUAGUAAGCUUUUAAAACUGCUCAUCUUGAGGUAUGGAAGGGAAAGUGGAAUUCCUAGUGUAGCGGUGAAAUGCGCAGAUAUUAGGAGGAAUACCGGUGGCGAAGGCGACUUUCUGGCCAUAACCUGACGCUGAGGUACGAAAGCGUGGGUAGCAAACAGG